CGGGAGCUAGUUGAUGCAGCGGUGAGGAGAGGUGUUGAUAUCCUUUGCGUCCAAGAAACCAAAUGGAGAGGACAGAAGGCGAAGGAGGUGGAGGAUACCGGCUUCAAGCUAUGGUACACGGGGACGGCUGCAAACAGAAGUGGCGUAGGCAUCUUGAUCAACAAGAGCCUCAAGUAUGGAGUGGUAGACGUCAAGAGACGUGGGGACCGGAUUAUCUUGGUCAAGCUGGUAGUUGAGGACUUGCUUCUCAAUGUUAUCAGCGCGUAUGCCCCGCAAGUAGGCCACAAUGAAAACACCAAGAGGGAGUUCUGGGAAGGCCUGGAAGACAUGGUUAGGAGUGUACCGAUUGGUGAGAAGCUCUUCAUAGGAGGAGACCUCAAUGGCCACGUGGGUACAUCUAACACAGGUUUUGAAGGGGCGCAUGGGGGCUUUGGCUAUGGCAUCAGGAAUCAAGAAGGGGAAGAUGUCUUAAGUUUUGCUCUAGCCUACAACAUGAUUGUAGCUAACACCCUCUUUAAAAAGAGAGAAUCACAUCUGGUGACUUUUAGUAGUGGCCAACACUCUAGCCAGAUUGAUUUCAUCCUCUCGAGAAGAGAAGAUAGG
Molecule: ribosomal RNA, 603 nt
Filed under: Triticum aestivum (bread wheat)
Lineage: Eukaryota; Viridiplantae; Streptophyta; Magnoliopsida; Poales; Poaceae
Description: partial small subunit ribosomal RNA
Source: RNAcentral